GGGGAGUGACGUCAAGUCAGCAUGGCCUUUAUAUCCUGGGCUACACACACGCUACAAUGGGAAGGGACAAUAGGUUGCGAAGCCGCGAGGCGGAGCCAAUCCAGCAAAACUUCCCUCAGUUCAGAUUGCAGGCUGCAACUCGCCUGCAUGAAGUUGGAGUUGCUAGUAAACGCAGGUCAGCCAUACUGCGUUGAAUACGUUCCCGGGGCUU
Molecule: ribosomal RNA, 211 nt
Filed under: uncultured Anaerolineaceae bacterium
Lineage: Bacteria; Bacillati; Chloroflexota; Anaerolineae; Anaerolineales; Anaerolineaceae
Description: partial 16S ribosomal RNA
Rfam family: Bacterial small subunit ribosomal RNA
Source: RNAcentral